Molecule: small nuclear RNA, 22 nt
Filed under: Arabidopsis thaliana (thale cress)
Lineage: Eukaryota; Viridiplantae; Streptophyta; Magnoliopsida; Brassicales; Brassicaceae
Description: snRNA_18165
Source: RNAcentral
UCCUUCCAGAGCUGGACAGGGU